This is a non-coding RNA of Gossypium raimondii (Peruvian cotton), 107 nucleotides long. The record is from Rfam. Lineage: Eukaryota; Viridiplantae; Streptophyta; Magnoliopsida; Malvales; Malvaceae.
AACCCAUGGUGAGGGCACCGUCUCCAUAAGUCCUUAUAACUUUCCCACGCAUCAUAUAAGGUCUCUAAAUCAAUCUGAAUGAAGGAAGAGAUAUCAUUCCUCAACUU